GCUGGGUGUGGUGGUGCUCGCAUGUAAUCCCAGCAACACAGGAGGCUGAGGCAGGAGGAUUGCAAGUUCAAGGCCAGCCUCAGCAACUUAGCAAGGCCCUGAGUAACUUAGUGAGACCCUGUCUCAA
Molecule: small RNA, 127 nt
Filed under: Marmota monax (woodchuck)
Lineage: Eukaryota; Metazoa; Chordata; Mammalia; Rodentia; Sciuridae
Source: RNAcentral